Small nucleolar RNA from Arvicanthis niloticus (Nile rat), 131 nucleotides. RefSeq annotates it as small nucleolar RNA SNORA17. NCBI's taxonomy places the organism in Eukaryota, Metazoa, Chordata, Mammalia, Rodentia, Muridae. The record is from RefSeq and is a predicted model, not a curated record.
UCUGCCCCUAGAGGCGUUGCAGGUGGGGCUGAUGUGUCACAUAUGCAUCAGUAGGUGGCAGAGAGGAGAGAAGAGAUGUCUAAGCUUAGCAUUCUCACUUGUAAACAUCUGAAUGAUUAGUACCUAACACU